Molecule: long non-coding RNA, 938 nt
Filed under: Gopherus agassizii (Agassiz's desert tortoise)
Lineage: Eukaryota; Metazoa; Chordata; Testudines; Testudinidae
Description: lncRNA (ENSGAGG00000015812.1)
Source: RNAcentral
AAUUAUAGCACUUGCAAAUCGAUUUUCAUUUGGCCACACUGAAUUUAAUUUUUUCUUUUAAUCCCAUUUUAGCUAUAGUAAGUAGCAACCAACCAAUUAGCAUCUCAGCUACAGAAAAAGGAACUUCUGAUUUACAUACCACCACUACAUAUAUUUCAACAACAUUCAUCAAAGGGAGCGAGAGGACAUUAAGAUCACUAACAAAUGGCAACGUAUCACCUGAUGCAGCAGAAAGCUCCACUUCUAAUUUAGAUAAUACGAAGUCUUCUGAUUUAACCCAAGCCUCAACCUCUGUAACACCAGGGCGAGGGAGUAAUAUCUCCUCAACUGACUCUUCAAUAGAGGCUUUGCUUACACAGUCUUCCAAGAGCUCAAGUUAUUCGUCUUCACCAAAUGAUCUUGCAGCUAUUGGAAGUAGCUACCAACCGAUUAACAUCUCAACUACAGAAACAAGGACUUCUGAUGUGCAUACUUCCAGUUCCUAUAUGUCAAUGACAUUCACCGUAGCUUCAGAGAGGACCUUAACGUCUCUAACAAACAGCAGCACAUUGGCUGAUGCAGCAGAAAGCUCCACUUCUAAUUUAGGAAAUAUCAGGUCUUCGNACAUCGGCUGAUGCAGCAGAAAGCUCCACUUCUAACUUAGGAAAUAUCAGGUCUUCGGAUUUACCCCAGCCCUCAUCUGCUGUAGCACAGGUUGGAGGAAAUAAUAUCUCAUCUCNGGAUUUACCCCAGCCCUCAUCUGCUUUAGCACAAGCUGGAGGAAAUAAUAUCUCAUCUAGUGACUUCACGGAGCCUUCCACGGAGCUUUUGCUUACGCAUUCUUCCAAGAUCCCAAGUUAUUCGUCUUCCCCAAAUGAUCUUGCAGGUGAGUUUUGUGAUUCCUCAGCUGGUUAGUGCACAGUUCAAAAAAAUGGUAAAAGAGCCUCCUCCUCACCAAA